This 2223-nucleotide ribosomal RNA is filed under the name Oceanobacillus jeddahensis. Its description in RNAcentral is "bacterial LSU rRNA". It matches the Rfam family "Bacterial large subunit ribosomal RNA", at positions 697 to 2925 of the family's 2925-position model. Lineage: Bacteria; Bacillati; Bacillota; Bacilli; Caryophanales; Bacillaceae. The record is from RNAcentral.
GAGUAUGCGGUCGUAGACCCGAAACUGUGUGAUCUACCCAUGUCCAGGGUGAAGGUCAGGUAACACUGACUGGAGGCCCGAACCCACGUAUGUUGAAAAAUGCGGGGAUGAGGUGUGGGUAGCGGUGAAAUUCCAAUCGAACACAGAGAUAGCUGGUUCUCUCCGAAAUAGCUUUAGGGCUAGCCUCAAGAUCAUGAGUACUGGAGGUAGAGCACUGAUUGGACUAGGGGCCCCUACCGGGUUACCGAAUUCAGUCAAACUCCGAAUGCCAGUUACUUUAACUUGGGAGUCAGACUAUGGGUGAUAAGGUUCAUAGUCGAAAGGGAAACAGCCCAGACCGCCAGCUAAGGUCCCAAAGUAUACGUUAAGUGGAAAAGGAUGUGGCGUUGCACAGACAACCAGGAUGUUGGCUUAGAAGCAGCCAUCAUUGAAAGAGUGCGUAAUAGCUCACUGGUCGAGUGACGCUGCGCCGAAAAUGUACCGGGGCUAAACGUAUCACCGAAGCUGCGGAUUGUUCUUACGAACAAUGGUAGGAGAGCGUUCAAAGUGCUGUGAAGUCAGACCGUGAGGACUGGUGGAGCGCUUUGAAGUGAGAAUGCCGGUAUGAGUAGCGAAAAAAGAGUGAGAAUCUCUUUCACCGAAUGCCUAAGGUUUCCUGAGGAAGGCUCGUCCUCUCAGGGUUAGUCGGGACCUAAGCCGAGGCCGAUAGGCGUAGGCGAUGGACAACAGGUUGAUAUUCCUGUACCACCUCAUGAUUGUUUGAGCAAUGGGGGGACGCAGGAGGAUAAGGAGUGCGCACCGAUGGAUGUGCGUCCAAGCAUGCGAGGAAGUCAGAUAGGCAAAUCCGUCUGACAUGUUUCUGAGCUGUGACGGGGAGGGAAAUAGAGUACCGAAGUUCCUGAUUUCACACUGCCAAGAAAAGCCUCUAGUUAGAUCAUAGGUGCCCGUACCGCAAACCGACACAGGUAGGCGAGGAGAGAAUCCUAAGGUGAGCGGGAGAACUCUCGUUAAGGAACUCGGCAAAAUGACCCCGUAACUUCGGGAGAAGGGGUGCUCACUUGUGAGUGAGCCGCAGUGAAUAGGCCCAAGCGACUGUUUAGCAAAAACACAGGUCUCUGCGAAGCCGAAAGGCGAAGUAUAGGGGCUGACACCUGCCCGGUGCUGGAAGGUUAAGGGGAAGAGUUAGCUCUUCGGAGCGAAGCUUUGAACCGAAGCCCCAGUAAACGGCGGCCGUAACUAUAACGGUCCUAAGGUAGCGAAAUUCCUUGUCGGGUAAGUUCCGACCCGCACGAAAGGUGCAACGACUUGGGCACUGUCUCAACGAGAGACCCGGUGAAAUUAUACUAUGCGUGAAGAUGCGCAUUACCCGCGACAGGACGGAAAGACCCCGUGGAGCUUUACUGUAGCCUGAUAUGGAAUGUUUGUGCAGUUUGUACAGGAUAGGUGGGAGCCUUUGAAACGUGAGCGCCAGCUUACGUGGAGGCAUCCGUGGGAUACCACCCUAACUGUAUGACCAUUCUAACCCAGGACCGUUAUCCGGUUCGGAGACAGUGUCAGGCGGGCAGUUUGACUGGGGCGGUCGCCUCCUAAAAGGUAACGGAGGCGCCCAAAGGUUCCCUCAGAAUGGUUGGAAAUCAUUCGCAGAGUGUAAAGGCAGAAGGGAGCUUGACUGCGAGACCUACAAGUCGAGCAGGGACGAAAGUCGGGCUUAGUGAUCCGGUGGUUCCGCAUGGAAGGGCCAUCGCUCAACGGAUAAAAGCUACCCCGGGGAUAACAGGCUUAUCUCCCCCAAGAGUUCACAUCGACGGGGAGGUUUGGCACCUCGAUGUCGGCUCAUCGCAUCCUGGGGCUGUAGUCGGUCCCAAGGGUUGGGCUGUUCGCCCAUUAAAGCGGUACGCGAGCUGGGUUCAGAACGUCGUGAGACAGUUCGGUCCCUAUCCGUCGUGGGCGUUGGAAGUUUGAGAGGAGCUGUCCUUAGUACGAGAGGACCGGGAUGGACACACCGCUGGUGUACCAGUUGUUCCGCCAGGAGCAUAGCUGGGUAGCUACGUGUGGUAAGGAUAAGUGCUGAAAGCAUCUAAGCAUGAAGCCCCCCUCAAGAUGAAACUUCCCAUCACUUGAAGUGAGUAAAAUCCCUCAGAGACGAUGAGGUUGAUAGGUCCGAGGUGGAAGCGUGGCGACACGUGCAGCUGACGGAUACUAAUCGAUUGAGGACUUAUCUAA